GUCCGGGUAGGAUUUGAUGGCCUCCUGCAGCUCCUUGUACACCUGGGUGGCGUCGUUGCAGCCGAACAUGGGCAGCUUCCACAUGGUCCAGUAGCGGCCGUCGUAGUAGCACGGGGAGGUGGAGUUCUCGCGGUACACGAAGCCGACCUUGCUGAACUCGAGGCAGGGUAUCCAGCCGUUGCGCAGCAGGUAGUCCACCUGCUUCAGCAGGUCGUCCGUCGACAGCGGCGGCAGGUACGACAGCGUCUCGAACUUCUUGUUGCCGUAGGCCGGCCACACCUGCACGUAGUACGUGUGUUUUGGUUCGUUUGGGGUUGGGAAAUGGGAUGGGAUGGGCAACACACAUCAGUCCAUGCAUGGAUCAUCAGUUCCCUUCCUAUUACUAACUCGCUAGCUGCAGCUGCUGCAAUGCAAAGAACUACUAGCUAGGAUGCAUUUGUUACCUGCAUGCACCGGAUCCUUCCGCCGUUGCUGACGUUGCCGAGGCUUCUGGAGGAGCGGCGGGCGACGGGGAGGCUGGCGGUGGACUUGAGCCCCUGGAACGGAGCGACGGCGGUGGCCGACGAGGCCAUCAUCACGGUGGGCGCCAUGGCUGCCUGGCUGCCUAGUAUGUAUGUACUCGCUGCUUGCUUGCUUGCUUGGGUCGUCCUGUAGUAGGCUCCCCCACACCGACGGCAUAUAUAGAGGGGGAGAGUGUGCGACGGGAUGGCCGGCUCCGGCUCUCGUUGGGGGCAGGACGCAGUACAGGACAGGACGAAGCGGAUGUGGGACGAGUGGCCACCGUUCUCCCGUGGCCGCGCCCGGCCAGCCUGGCCCUAUCCUGAUCGCGUCCGCCACCACAUGUCGCGUCCCCGUGGCGCGCCUUAUCGCCUGCGCGCCAUGGUUGGACUAUGCGUGAUGUGCCAGGGACUUGUAGAUAGGAGGAAGCGCAGUUUAGGCUCGUCGCGGUUCUGGGCAAAGACAAAACAGUUUUGGGCUUGGGCUUCGGCUUCGGCUUCGGCUGCGUCUGCUUGCAGUUUUGGCUCUUUGCAUCGUCUGCUGCUCUCUCACCUGAGGCACUGACGCCGGCCCUGUUUGGAUCUACAGAAUUGGGCUGAAUUCAAGUCAGUUUCCAGGAUGGCUUGUUUGGCAGCGCAUUGAAAUUGGAAAGUGACAGUAGAAUUUUUUGGCAUAUAUAUGCGCCUUACUUAGCUACCUCGAAUUCAUGGCAAUUCCGCCUCUUGUCUUUUAUCGGGCGUCGUCCACGAGCGCCUACGCCUUCCCCAACCAUUCCACCUAUUCUAUUUUUCUACAAAAAAAAUAAUUACCCCAGCCUCAGCUAUUUAUGAAAAAUAUAUGAACUUUCGCUAGAGUUGCAUUUGAAUUCCCCACGUCUGUCAUCAGUCAUCACGAAAGAAAGGUAAAUCUAAAACUCCUCCUAAAAAUGUUAUUUAAUUACCCAAACAUGCCUAAAACUGCAUUUAAGGAUAUCUACUAUGAAAGGUAUUGCAAAAUAACACACUAAAUGUGCCAUUUAUCUUUGCAAGCCGCGGAUGCAGAUCUAGCGCCAGAUUAAAGGGAGCUCGAUUCAUGGAUAUAUGUUCUUUUUCAAAGAAUGUUUAUGGUCGAUGUUUGUUAUUUUUUUCGUUUUGCGAAACCGUAUGCAAGAAAUUACAAAAGGUGGGGAACUUUUUGUUUUCAUAAUCAAAAAAAUAUGUCUUUUAGAUUACGCGUAUCUAAGCAAUGUAAAUACGCUAAAUUUGUGUCUUACUUAUGUACCUACGUGCUCAAUUAACUAAAUAUUCCACAUAUUUUUGUCUUACCAAUAUAAUCUAUUAUAGAAAAUAAUUCAACAACCAUAGAAAUAUGCAUAAAUUUUUCUAGACUACACAUUCUACCAUUUCUCUACUGAUAUAAGGUCCUGUCCUUAAGCAACCUAGUUUUUAAGAAGCCAGAUUCUAUCUCUAAUUUCCAGAAAUUGGUUUAUAAAAACAACUGGUUAAUCGUGUUUGUAACCAUCUCAAUUUCUAUAAAUUAGUUUUAGCUAGGGGAGGCUAGCUUCUUGGUUUUAAGAAACCGAGAAUCCAGUUUCCAUAAACAAGCACAUAAACUGAUAUGUUUGAAACCACCUCAUCUUGAUAAACCAAUUUCUUAAAACUGGGAGCUUCCAUACAGACCCUUAAGCAUCAGUUUUUCUCGUUUCCACCGUCGUCCAUUUAAAAAAUCCUUAUGCAUUUUAUAAUCUAACCCACGGUCUAACAACUACAACACAUACAAGGCAAAACCGCAUUCUUGUGUCACUUUCCAAUUCAAUGCGUUGGUGGCCCCAGGUCUGUACAGUCUCCGUGUUCGCCCCGAGAUCUUGCCUGGCGAUGUUGCCUCCGACCUCGUCGCGACACAGAUCCUCGUGCCCGAUAUACCUCCGUGUUGGCCUACCCACGCUCCCCAAACCCUAGGGGUUCCACGCACGAGAUAGGGAUAUGAAGGCGCUGGUGGGGCGGACGGUGCGAAAUCGGUAGGCCCCUCACAAUCCCCUCCCACAAGUUGUCAUCGAUCUCGCUGCGACAUAGGCCCUCGCGCCCGAUCUACCACCACACUGGCCUCCCCUCGCUCCGCAAACCGUAGGGGUUCCGCACGAGAUAGGGAUGGAGGCGCUGCUGGGGCAGGUACUGUGGAAGACGUUCCCAGGGUUCGGUACCUUCAUGGGCGUUGUGGAGUCGUACGACCUCUACGCGACCUAUUUCUACAUGCUCUAAAAGGACGAUGAUUCCGAGGAGGUCGACGUCGACAAGUUGGCCCUAGAUUAUCGUUGGACCCACGAUGCCAUGCGCGCUGCAGUAACAACAGAAGCACACCCACUACAGGAGACAAAAUCAUUUUUGGCGGUCAAAAGCCGCCAAAAAUAAGCCAUAUACCACCGAAAAUAGCUUAUUUUUGGCGGCAUCUUGCCGCCAAAAAAAUUAUCCAAAAAUAAAGACUAAUUUUUGGCAGCAACACCUAGGUCGAAAAUAACUUAUUUUCGACGGUCACGCUGUUGCCGCCGAAAAUAGAGCAGCCGAAAAUAUACAAGCUUAUUUUCGACAGAAUGUAAAAUUAACAGCAAUUUUAACAACACUAUAAUAUAAUCACAAUAUUAUGACAGCAAAAGAAAUUCCAGAAUUACACACAUUCAACACAAAAUAUCACAAUUCACCACAAUUCCUCACAAAUACAUCACAGUUCACCAAAAUACCUUACAAAUCCAUUACAAUCUAGCACAAAUUCACAAUUCCAUCACAAAAACAUCAUAAUCGAGUGCAUCAUCCAAAAUCACCACAAGAGUCAAAUCAUGUCUCAAGGUAUUGGUGGUCCAACCACUUGGGCUUCAGAGUUGCCCUCGAAAAAGGCUAAGGUUUGAUUCAUUUUCACCGGCGUUGUAACGAGGAGGUGGGUUAUGCACACUCGAGAGAUUGUCACCAUAAUAUGUUGAUGUGAAGUUUGACACCUACUCCAGAAUGUAUGCCUGUUUAAUGGAAGCCUCCAUUUUGCAUUUCUUUCUACAUUUCUUUUGAAUAACCAUUAGACACUUCUCGAUUGAAUAUCACCAAUGUCCCUGCACGGGGCCCCGAUUCGUGCCUCAUACGGGAGAUGCAGAAUCAAAUGUUGCAUCGGAUUGCCAUUCUUUCCAAGUGGAAGCCAAGUGGAAAGUUCUUCUCCAACUUACACAUUAACACGAGUGCCAUUCUUUCCAAGUCUGCAAUCAUGGUCCGAGAUAACUCCUCGACACAAAGCUAGCAGAAGAAAUAGCUCAACUCUGCAAGAACUAUCUAGACAUGCUCAGGGACAUAGCCCCAUACCAUCCCCAGAAGAAGUUGUUCAAUCCAUAUGUGGUAGUCAUGACUCUUCAUCCCUAAGACUCAUAUAGUAGAUAAGUUCACCCCCUACUCAUGUUAGCUGCAUACCCAUCAGGGAACAUUAACAUCUUGAUCCACUCUAGUACUUCCCUCCUCAGGGCCUUGCUCAAGACAAAAUCGACCUUAGGCCUUCUCCAUGUCUUUCCACUACUAGGAAGCUUCAUCUCUUGGUUUGGUCUAUCACAUAACACUGCCAGAUCCACUCUUGCCUUAAUGUUAUCCUUUGUCUUAUCAGGAAUAUCCACGAUUGUUGCCCAAAGUGCCUCUAUGGCAUUCUUUUCAGUGUGUAUCACAUCAAUAUUGCGUGGAAGGAGAAGGUCAUCAUAAUAGGGGAGCCGAGUCAAGCCCGAAUUUAUGGGUCCACAUAUGUUGCUCACCAUAUCCCACAAAACCACCUUCUAGAUUGACCACGAGACCGUCUAUUUGUUGAUGAACUUUGGCACUAGUCAUCUGUAAGGAAAAUUGACCUCGACCCAUUUGACUAAAUGAUUUUGUUGAUCGAUGAUCAACAGAAUCUAUGGACUAAUGUGUUUGCUAGUGUUUGUAUUUGUAGUUCACAAGAUGCUAAAGUAACUUGGACCAAGGCAUUGAGCAAGCAACACUCAAAAGAAGACACUAUGAAGACCAUAAGUGAAUAUCAAGAAGUAUAAAGCAAAGUACAAUACUUGAAUAAAGUGUAGCCACUCGCGGACCGUCCGGCUGAGAACAACGGACUAUCCGAUGCACCAGGAAACAGGACCCAACGACUAGUUUCCUGGUGGCACUGUGGAGGACAACCACCGGAUUGUUCGGUGCACCACCGGACUGUCCCGUGUAAGGAUGACAUGCGACAACAGUCACCUGCAACGGUCAUAUCCAACGGCUAUGGGGCACCGGAUAGGGCACCGGACUGUCCAGUGCCUACCACCAGACUGUCCGGUGUGCCACAAAGAGGAACAGCUUUUCUCCAACUGCUAGUUUUGAGUUGGGGCCUAUAUAUACUUCACCCAACCGACCAUUUUGAAGGUGUGGGAGCCCAACAUACCAGCACAUGUUAUAGACAUUUCCAAGUGCUCAAACACCCAAGUGCUUAAUAGAACCACUCGGUGAUUAGCGUAGGUGUUUUGCGAAGUGCUUAGGUUAGUUAGACCACUUAUACGCUUGCUCUAGGUGAAUCCUAGUUAGUUGAGUGAGUUUAGAAAAACCCACAAACCCCAUGGCUCUUGUGCGAGCUGUUGUAAUUGUAUCGCAUGGAGCGAGAGUCUUGCGAGACUGUGAUAACCGAGUUUGUGUCAUGGCCGCCACCGUGUACCGAAGGGAACGAGGCCCGUAACGUUUCGGUGGGAAUCUCUAUAGUGGAGACGACGGGGAGCGUUCGAUAGGAGCUGGAAGCGGAGCACCACUUGAGCAUGAAGAAGGCCCAUGACUCUCUACGGAGUUACUCGACCGUGGUGCUUGGCUCUCGCGUGGGCUACUCUUUUGCGUAGGGGCACCAACGAGGGUUAGUCGGGACCUUGCGUGGUUCCGGAUACCUCGGUAAAAAUACUAGCGUCAUCCAUGAGAGUUUGCUUUCUCUACAACCUCUUUAAUCUUCUGCAAUUACUCUAUCUACUUACGUUGCAAUCUUUACUAUUUUUAUUGUAGAAUAUUUAUGAUUGGAACUUAGGUUGCUUUUGCGGUAGAGAUAGCAACACUUACACAAAACCUAGUUUGCACAUUCUAGAUUGCUUAUUUGCAUAGGUUUUGUUCUAAGGAUUUAUUUGUGACCUAGUUUAGAAAGUAGUUUUUAGAAGUCCUAAUUCACCCCCUCUUAGGCAUCGCCGUUUCCUAAAUAAUCACUGUAGGUGGGCGGUCUAUCACUAUGACACCUUUCAUAAAGGUCUUGAUGUCUUAUCGGAAUGCAUGAUCAGGAGGGAGAAAUUGUCGGUGUUUAUCGAACGUCGAAUAUUUGUCACCCUUCUUCAACCAAAUGAACCUAAGACCUUGAUUGCAAACUGGACAUGGGAACUUACCGUGAACACACUAGGUGGAGAAUAGCCCAUAUGCCGGGAAGUCAUGUAUGGAGUACUUGUACCAAACAUGCAUUUUGAAGUUUUUCUUUGUAGCUCAGUCGUAUGUCCAUACCCCUUCCUCCCAAGCACAGACCAAUUCAUCAUUCACAUGCUCCAUGUACACACUCAUUUUAUUCUCCGGGUGUCCAGGAAUUAUCAACGACAAGAACAUGUUCUGUCAUUGAAAGCAUAUGACGGGGGAGAUUGAGGGGGAUAACGAACACAGGCAACACGUGUAUGGGUAGCUAUCAAUCCAUACGUAUUGAACCCAUCUGUGGCCAGUGCAACAUGUACGUUACGAGCUUCUUUAGCUUCGUCAUGGUGAAUGACAUCAAAUUGGGUCCAUGCUUCACCAUCGGAUGCAUGUACCAUCUUGUCAGGAUUCUAUCGUUUUCCAUUUUUGUGCCAUGCAUCUGUUUCAUGGAAUCCUCAGUCAUGUAUAGCCAUUGGAUCCUCGAUAUGAAUGGAAUAUGUGUAGGAUUAUCACAGGGAUGCUGAGCUAUCUCUUCUGUCCAUCACCAGAGUCUACCUCCAUGAACCUAGACGAUUUACAUUUCAGACAGUACUUUGCCUCUGCGUAUUCUUUCCUAAAUAGGACGCAACACUUCGGACAAGUAUGUAUUUGCUCAUACGUCAUCUUGAGUGCAUGAAGGAGUCUCUGUACCUCAUACAUGAUCUUUAGCAGAACGUGAUCCUCUUUAAGCAAGCUUCUAAUAACUGUCAACAUACCAUCGAAGGCUUCUCGACUCAGUCUAUACUAUGACUUUAAGGCCAUUAUAUGUCCAAUGGCACCCAAUUGAGAAAUGUAACACCCAGUUUGUAACCUAUAAUAAAAGAGGAGAAAUUAAUUCCUUUAUCUAUAUGAGUGUUAUUCCUACUUAUCAUCACAUGUGAACACCAUAAUCAAAAAAAUAAUAAUUAAUAAAAGACUUACCAAAAAAAAUGUGUGCAUCAUGUUGGUUCUUUAUUUUGUGUGCAUUAUGUGGCAAUAUAAAAGUAAUGUGACAAGAAAUAUAUUAAAUUCCCAAGUGGAAAUUUAGAAUUUAAAAGAAAUCCUAGAAUUGAGAAAAGAAGAGAAAUUAAUAGGGGAAUAAAAAUAAGUAUAAAAAUAUAUACAUUAUUCUUAUACAUAUUGGAUUUUGAAUAUUUUACUCAAAGGUUAAGUCCACAAAAAGGGAUUCAAAUUCAAACUAGAGAUUCAAAUGAAUAUAUAUAAAAAAAGAUAAAAGAAAAAGGGGAAAGAAGCCAAUUGGGCCUCAGGCUUCAUUUCGGCCCAGUAACCAAAACACACCAUGCGGCCCGUCCAGCCGCCUGGUGGUGGUGCCGACAGGUGGGCCACCCUUGUCAUCCCGCUCUCACGCGCACUUGGCAAGAAACUUGUUACGCUGCUGGCGGGCCCCACUCGUCAGACUUAUCUCCCUUCUCACAACAACCCCCGCGUCAGCGCAACAGAACCGUGGUGCUGCCCAGGGAUUCCGAGCUCGCGCAUACGCCUACCGAAAUCGAAGCCGAAAUUCGUGGAAGACUACCUGCUCGGGCUGCCAUCCUCCCUCCGAUUUUCCCCGUCGCAACCAUCGCCGUUGAUCUCGGAUGCCGUUGAGGGUAGUCCGCACAUGGGGAAGGCCUAUAAGUUGGGCGAUGUGCGUUCCUCCUCCUAUCCCACCUCUCCAGAAGUUUCGUGGCCGGGCAGGGUGAGAUACUCGCGGUUGGGAGCUCGACGGAACCACCGUCACGUGGUCAUCUGUGCUGCUCCAUGGUCGCGUGCGUGGGCAUCGAGCGACCGCCUGCGUAGGGAGGAAAAGGGUUAGCCGCCGCGUCGUUUCCUCGGAACGCCGUCGUCCUGGCUCGGGUAGCCGCAAUUGAGGUUCGCGAGAGCACGUGGGUCAUCGUCAGGCUAGGCGCCAGGUGUGGCGGUCUCCAGAAUCCGACUAAUUCGUCGCCGGGGUUUUCUUUCGCGGCGGAAAUUGUGGUCGGCCGUGGCCGGCUGAUCUGGGCGCCAAAUCGACCGGUAUGACCUAACCUAUUACCUUCCUCGCCAUAACCGCAUUCGUUUUUAUAAAUCCGGGGGUCGAAGUAGUUGGCCGGGUCGCGCAAAUCGCUUGCCGCGGCGGAACUCCGGUGGGCGUUUGGGGGUGGCGCAGCCGCAGGCGGCCGAGGGAGGAAGAUACACUUGCGCCGUCGGAUGGGAGUUGGACGGGGAUGAUUAGAAUUGAGCGUACCCUUUCGCUGAUGCCAUCUGGGCCGUUCGACUGGUCUCGGACGGGUGCGAUCAGGGCGCGCUUAUUUUAAACCAGGGCCGUGAAAUCUAGAUCCGACGGCUAGGGUUGAGCGCGGAGGGUAACUCGCCUGGAUCUAAUCUGACACGUCUGUUUCAGAUCGGGCGGUCUGAACUUGUCGAUACCGCUUCGCUGGCCACUUUGCUAAAGAGCCCUCGGGAAACUCAGAAACCAACCCGCGAUCCGUCCCUGGUAGAUUCUGAGUCUGGAGAAAUCUUAUAAGCUAGCCCCUGUCUUUCCCUGUAAUAGGCGCCUAGUCCAGAGAGUUAUAAAAUCAGAGAAAUGAAUUAGAAAAUGAGUUUUUAAAAUAAAAACAAUACCUAGAUUUUGUAUAAUUCAUAGAAAAUGCAUAUGAACUCCAAAUUAGUUCAUUCCAGUUUCUAAAUUUUCAUAAUAUUAUUGUCUAACCAUUGGUGCCUCUGUUUGGCAUGAAAGACACAUUAAAAUUUAUCUAAUACUUAAUCAUGUAUUAAAUACAUAAAAUCUUGGAAAAUUCAUAACUUAAAAUCUAUAACUCCAAAUUUAAUGAUUCCAGUUCCUGUGAUCUUAUUUUAAUAUCUAGAUUAUUACUGUGUAUUUUAUUUACAUGCUUGGUGUAAUGUUAAUUUUGCCUAUACAAUGUUUGUUUGUAUUGCUACGACUACAGCGAGGACACGUGUCAUCUGAAGAUCAUCCUGGUACCUGGAAUCUCAAGUCACAGGCAAGUUGUGCCCUUGAUCACUUCUUUUACCUACUCAUGUUCUGAUUAAUCAUAAUGAUCUGCAUAGGUUACUUUUGAUGGGACCCAAUAGGUCACCCUAGUUUGUUCAUCCUGAAUACCUUGUUUACCCCUAAAUCACUUGGGUAGUUCUGCUACUGCUUUAUAUGGUUUUGGGUUAAUAUUUCAUUACAUCUAUGUUCCAAUUAUGUUGUUAUUCUAUUUAUGUUCAUGACAAGAUCAUUAAAAUGUUAAUUGGAACAUAGAGCUUAACUUGAGAACCACGUGCCACCACAAGGGUUUAAUGGGACGCCCUUGGCUGACUAAUUAGGAAAGCUAGUGGAGGACUACCUUACCCGAAAGGGGCAAGGGCAGUAGGGGAGUGGUCAGUGUAGGGAGGCCCUCGGGAGGAUUUUGCUGCGAUGGCGGUCCUGCAAGGGAUUCCUGCAUUGGAGCUUCCUAUAAACUGUAGCGGGUUUUCUGAAGCUAGUGGAACUUUGUAAAGGCCUCGUAGUGUUACCCUGCCUCGCCUCCUCGGUAGAGGUGUAUGGGAAGUCGCGAUCCCUUGGCAGAUGGGUAACAUGACUUGUGGGUAAAGCGUACCACCUCUGCAGAGUGUAAAACUGGUAUACUAGCCGAGCUCACGGUCAUGAGCAGCUCAGGACUCUCUGAUGAUUAAAUUAUAGAACUUAAACUCAAUUUGUCAUAUGCAUUGCAUUGCAGGUGAGGUUGUUACUUUUGUUCUACUACUUAAUUGGGUUGGUAUUUACUAAUUGCUAAUAAAAUUUUGACCAACUUUAAAAGCAAUGCUCAGCUUCAACCAUCCUCUUUGGUAAGCCUUACACUUCACAUGAGCUCCCACCUUUGGCGAGUUCAUGCACAUUAUUCCCCACAACUUGUUGAGCGAUGAACGUAUGUGAGCUCACUCUUGCUGUCUCACACCCCCCCACAGGUCAAGAACAGGUACCGCAGGAUGAGGCGCUUGGAGGAUGCUGCGAUGAGUUCGUGAGAGAUCUAGGCCGUCGUCUCCCAGUCAACUUUGGGUUGCUGGACCGUUGUCUCCUUAUAAUGUAAUUACUUAAUUAUUUUGUAUAGAACUCCUGUUAUGUAGUAAAGAUGUGACAUUCGAUCCUGUGCCAUGAUUCAUCAUAUGUGUGAGACUUGGUCCCAGCACACCUGGUGUUUAUGUUCGCGCCCGGGUUUUUGGACCCCUAAAAUCCGGGUGUGACAGAAGUGGUAUCAGAGGAAUGUGGACUGUAGGACGAAACCUAGAUAGAACUGGACAACCAAUACUUACUUACCUUUGCUACUCUGAUUCUUUUCUAAACUUAUCUUAAUCUUUUCUCGUCUAUUUCCGCUCUACUCUGAUUAUUCUUACCUUUUCUUUCCAAAGACAAAUGUGGAUUUCACACUUUGAAAUCUUGUGCCUAAAGUGACUUUUAGGAAUAGGAGACUUCAUCUUAGGAACAAAAACAAAACUAUUUUUUUAUAUAAUUAUCUGUGCCCUUGAAUGUUUGUUCUUAUGAUACUUGCCUGAUUUGGAUCUUUGAUUGAGUGUGAUGAGUUGUGGAGUAAUGUCCACAAUUACAUCUGCAUAUACAUAUAGAAAAAAAAACACCUAUAAAAAAAAUAACUAGAUAAACUAGAGUAUCUAGCCUAACAAUAUCCAUCUUAGCUUAAAAGAUUCAUAUUCUACACUCAUAGAUCCAUCUUAUCUUAAAAGAUACUCUAUUACCUUAAUAGAUUAAUCUUAUCUUGAAAAGAUUUUAUCUUAUCCUAAUAGAUCUAACUAACCUCAAAAGAUUCUACCUUAUCCCUAUGAAUGCAUCUUGCCCUAAUAAGCAUAUUUACCCCCACACUAGUGUAACAACCAUGAUCUAAUCCAAAGUAAUUAGACAUUAUCUAGUCUAACCUAGUUGUACCGAUCUAAUCUAGAUCCCAUCUAAUCUACUAUGAUCCAAUUUAAAGAGAGUGACCUAAGAAGUUAGUUAAUCCUAGUGAAAUACAUUAGACCCUGCUCCUAUAAACAAGUUUGAGAUCCUAGAUCAACUCGGCCAUACCCAACAACUUGACCUACAUAAUAGAUCUAUCUUAACCUCCUGUCCCAAACCCGGAUGGAGACACCAAAGAGCAAGAAGGAGGAGAUCAACCUCGACAUGGAAGAAUAGGAGUCAAAUCAGAUCUCGAGAUGAUUCAAAUUUACCACCUUGGACGGAGUCUUCCCUUAUCAAGUUCUUCUUACCAUCAGCUAACCUCACUCUGACCAUCUCUCUUCUUACAUGUGUGUCUAAACAUAGAAGAUACCCAUGCACUCCUAAUCACCCACUUUUGACUAUAAAAUACUCUGGAUAUUUGAAACAAUUAUAGACUAAAAGUUGAAUUACAAGCCAAUCGUUUUGUAUUCCUUUCCUUACAAAUCUCGAGGACGAGAUUAUUUUUAAGGGGGGUAGGAUUUGUAACACCCAGUUUGUAACCUAUAAUAAAAGAGGAGAAAUUAAUUCCUUUAUCUAUAUGAGUGUUAUUCCUACUUAUCAUCACAUGUGAACACCAUAAUCAAAAAAAUAAUAAUUAAUAAAAGACUUACCAAAAAAAAUGUGUGCAUCAUGUUGGUUCUUUAUUUUGUGUGCAUUAUGUGGCAAUAUAAAAGUAAUGUGACAAGAAAUAUAUUAAAUUCCCAAGUGGAAAUUUAGAAUUUAAAAGAAAUCCUAGAAUUGAGAAAAGAAGAGAAAUUAAUAGGGGAAUAAAAAUAAGUAUAAAAAUAUAUACAUUAUUCUUAUACAUAUUGGAUUUUGAAUAUUUUACUCAAAGGUUAAGUCCACAAAAAGGGAUUCAAAUUCAAACUAGAGAUUCAAAUGAAUAUAUAUAAAAAAAGAUAAAAGAAAAAGGGGAAAGAAGCCAACUGGGCCUCAGGCUUCAUUUCGGCCCAGUAACCAAAACACACCAUGCGGCCCGUCCAGCCGCCUGGUGGUGGUGCCGACAGGUGGGCCACCCUUGUCAUCCCGCUCUCACGCGCACUUGGCAAGAAACUUGUUACGCUGCUGGCGGGCCCCACUCGUCAGACUUAUCUCCCUUCUCACAACAACCCCCGCGUCAGCGCAACAGAACCGUGGUGCUGCCCAGGGAUUCCGAGCUCGCGCAUACGCCUACCGAAAUCGAAGCCGAAAUUCGUGGAAGACUACCUGCUCGGGCUGCCAUCCUCCCUCCGAUUUUCCCCGUCGCAACCAUCGCCGUUGAUCUCGGAUGCCGUUGAGGGUAGUCCGCACAUGGGGAAGGCCUAUAAGUUGGGCGAUGUGCGUUCCUCCUCCUAUCCCACCUCUCCAGAAGUUUCGUGGCCGGGCAGGGUGAGAUACUCGCGGUUGGGAGCUCGACGGAACCACCGUCACGUGGUCAUCUGUGCUGCUCCAUGGUCGCGUGCGUGGGCAUCGAGCGACCGCCUGCGUAGGGAGGAAAAGGGUUAGCCGCCGCGUCGUUUCCUCGGAACGCCGUCGUCCUGGCUCGGGUAGCCGCAAUUGAGGUUCGCGAGAGCACGUGGGUCAUCGUCAGGCUAGGCGCCAGGUGUGGCGGUCUCCAGAAUCCGACUAAUUCGUCGCCGGGGUUUUCUUUCGCGGCGGAAAUUGUGGUCGGCCGUGGCCGGCUGAUCUGGGCGCCAAAUCGACCGGUACGACCUAACCUAUUACCUUCCUCGCCAUAACCGCAUUCGUUUUUAUAAAUCCGGGGGUCGAAGUAGUUGGCCGGGUCGCGCAAAUCGCUUGCCGCGGCGGAACUCCGGUGGGCGUUUGGGGGUGGCGCAGCCGCAGGCGGCCGAGGGAGGAAGAUACACUUGCGCCGUCGGAUGGGAGUUGGACGGGGAUGAUUAGAAUUGAGCGUACCCUUUCGCUGAUGCCAUCUGGGCUGUUCGACUGGUCUCGGACGGGUGCGAUCAGGGCGCGCUUAUUUUAAACCAGGGCCGUGAAAUCUAGAUCCGACGGCUAGGGUUGAGCGCGGAGGGUAACUCGCCUGGAUCUAAUCUGACACGUCUGUUUCAGAUCGGGCGGUCUGAACUUGUCGAUACCGCUUCGUUGGCCACUUUGCUAAAGAGCCCUCGGGAAACUCAGAAACCAACCCGCGAUCCGUCCCUGGUAGAUUCUGAGUCUGGAGAAAUCUUAUAAGCUAGCCCCUGUCUUUCCCUGUAAUAGGCGCCUAGUCCAGAGAGUUAUAAAAUCAGAGAAAUGAAUUAGAAAAUGAGUUUUUAAAAUAAAAACAAUACCUAGAUUUUGUAUAAUUCAUAGAAAAUGCAUAUGAACUCCAAAUUAGUUCAUUCCAGUUUCUAAAUUUUCAUAAUAUUAUUGUCUAACCAUUGGUGCCUCUGUUUGGCAUGAAAGACACAUUAAAAUUUAUCUAAUACUUAAUCAUGUAUUAAAUACAUAAAAUCUUGGAAAAUUCAUAACUUAAAAUCUAUAACUCCAAAUUUAAUGAUUCCAGUUCCUGUGAUCUUAUUUUAAUAUCUAGAUUAUUACUGUGUAUUUUAUUUACAUGCUUGGUGUAAUGUUAAUUUUGCCUAUACAAUGUUUGUUUGUAUUGCUACGACUACAGCGAGGACACGUGUCAUCUGAAGAUCAUCCUGGUACCUGGAAUCUCAAGUCACAGGCAAGUUGUGCCCUUGAUCACUUCUUUUACCUACUCAUGUUCUGAUUAAUCAUAAUGAUCUGCAUAGGUUACUUUUGAUGGGACCCAAUAGGUCACCCUAGUUUGUUCAUCCUGAAUACCUUGUUUACCCCUAAAUCACUUGGGUAGUUCUGCUACUGCUUUAUAUGGUUUUGGGUUAAUAUUUCAUUACAUCUAUGUUCCAAUUAUGUUGUUAUUCUAUUUAUGUUCAUGACAAGAUCAUUAAAAUGUUAAUUGGAACAUAGAGCUUAACUUGAGAACCACGUGCCACCACAAGGGUUUAAUGGGACGCCCUUGGCUGACUAAUUAGGAAAGCUAGUGGAGGACUACCUUACCCGAAAGGGGCAAGGGCAGUAGGGGAGUGGUCAGUGUAGGGAGGCCCUCGGGAGGAUUUUGCUGCGAUGGCGGUCCUGCAAGGGAUUCCUGCAUUGGAGCUUCCUAUAAACUGUAGCGGGUUUUCUGAAGCUAGUGGAACUUUGUAAAGGCCUCGUAGUGUUACCCUGCCUCGCCUCCUCGGUAGAGGUGUAUGGGAAGUCGCGAUCCCUUGGCAGAUGGGUAACAUGACUUGUGGGUAAAGGGUACCACCUCUGCAGAGUGUAAAACUGGUAUACUAGCCGAGCUCACGGUCAUGAGCAGCUCAGGACUCUUUGAUGAUUAAAUUAUGGAACUUAAACUCAAUUUGUCAUAUGCAUUGCAUUGCAGGUGAGGUUGUUACUUUUGUUCUACUACUUAAUUGGGUUGGUAUUUACUAAUUGCUAAUAAAAUUUUGACCAACUUUAAAAGCAAUGCUCAGCUUCAACCAUCCUCUUUGGUAAGCCUUACACUUCACAUGAGCUCCCACCUUUGGCGAGUUCAUGCACAUUAUUCCCCACAACUUGUUGAGCGAUGAACGUAUGUGAGCUCACUCUUGCUGUCUCACACCCCCCCCCACAGGUCAAGAACAGGUACCGCAGGAUGAGGCGCUUGGAGGAUGCUGCGAUGAGUUCGUGAGAGAUCUAGGCCGUCGUCUCCCAGUCAACUUUGGGUUGCUGGACCGUUGUCUCCUUAUAAUGUAAUUACUUAAUUAUUUUGUAUAGAACUCCUGUUAUGUAGUAAAGAUGUGACAUUCGAUCCUGUGCCAUGAUUCAUCAUAUGUGUGAGACUUGGUCCCAGCACACCUGGUGUUUAUGUUCGCGCCCGGGUUUUUGGACCCCUAAAAUCCGGGUGUGACAAGAAACCUUUGUCUAGCCAUGAAGCGGGUUCUGUGUUGUGUCAAACAUGUCAUAGAACGCCCUUGUGGCCGCCUCUGGCUCAUCACACGUACGUCCUUCAGCGAACUAUGCCUCAUGAUAGUCGUUCAAUAUGUCCGCUACCCCGACACCAGCAUUAUAAUACUCGAUGUGUUGUCUUACCACCUCCUCUCUCAUAAGAUGCAGUUCACCAUGGAAGAUCCACCGGGUAUAGUCUAUCGUAAAUCCAUUCUUCCAAAUAUGUUCUCUCAUGACCUUCUUUGUUUGUUUUUCCUGUUUGUACAUUUGCUGCACUGACAUGGGACUAGACUUGCUCCUUUAGAAGCUUCGCCAAAUGUCCGUUCCAAGAAAACAUCAAUCUUUGUAAUCCAUUCACUAGUGACAUCACCACUUCUUACGUGGCCUGUGUACAUCCACUCACGAUACUCCAUCCUCUAACAUAUAUAGCACAGAGAAUUAUAAACCUCUAAUGCUUCUACACUACGCUCGUACCUUCUAAUAGGUGAGGAUAUGUCCUAAUCCCACCCGAGGUUGCUUAGAUGGGGUUAGUGUCCAUGCUCUACUCCGAUCCAAGACAGAAUUUUGGCAGCAUGAAAGGGAAUUAGGCUUACACCUAGUUCCUAAAUAGUUUUGGUGGUUGAAUCGCCCAACACAAAUAAAUUGGACUAACUAGUUUGCUCUAGAUUACAUGUUCUACAGGUGCCAAAGGUUCAUCUACAACUAUACUAAUUCGACUGUCCGGAAUACCGUAGAUUAUUCCGGACAGGAGAAGCUUUUUGGAAAAACAGGCCAAGCGCGGACCGUCCGGGCUCUUGCGGCGGACCGUCCGCGACAUCGGGAUACCCCUCGGACAGAACCAAUGCAAAAACACAAGUUUCCACUACAGACUGUCCGGAGGAAAAGCGAAGACCGUCCGAGCCCUCGCGCGGACCGUCCGGCCUCAGGCGCGGACCGUCCGGUCGGUAAGGAACCGAAAAACCCGAAGGUGACGGGUUCGGAGAAAUGAAUUUUAGCGGCCUCGCGGACCGUCCGGGCCAGGCGGGCGGACCGUCCGCGACUGGCUCCGUCUGACAUCUGACGUCGCAUUAAAUGCAAUAUAGCCGUUGAUAUAGCCGUUACUGCUGACCGUUGCAUCUUCAGCCGUUGAUCUACAGGGGCGGACCGUCCGCACCAGGAGGGCGGACCGUCCGCGCUCAGCAGAAAGGCCCAACGGCUAGGAAGUGGUUGGUGGCUAUAAAUACAACCCCAACCACCUCCAUUCACUUUAUCCAAGCAUUCCAACCUUCAACAUUCAAUACAAGAGCUAGCAAUCCAUUCCAAGACACUUUCAAAGCCUCCAUCUCUCCAAGUUUCACUAUUGAGAUAAGAGAUCAUUAGUGAUUAGUGGCUUGAGAGAGAAAGCGAUCCGUGUGUCAUUUGUCGCUCUUGUUGCUUGGCUUUUUAAUCGUGCUUUCUUGAUUCUUUCAUUGCGAUCAAACUCACUUGUAAUUAAGGCAAGAGACACCAAUCUUGUGGUGAUCCUUGUAGGAACUUUGUGUUCCAAGUGAUUGAGAAAAGAAAGCUCACUCGAUCCGUGGAUCGUUUGAGAGAGGGAAGGGUUGAAAGAGACCCGGCCUUUGUGGCCUCCUCAACGGGGAGUAGGUUUGCAAAAACCGAACCUCGGUAAAACAAAUCCGCGUGUCACCUCUCCAUUUGGUUGCGAUUUGUUUUGCGCCCUCUCUUGCGGACUCAUUUAUUAUUACUAACGCUAACCCCGGCUUGUAGUUGUGUUUAUAUUUGUAAAUUUCAGUUUCGCCCUAUUCACCCCCCCUCUAGGCGACUAUCAAUUGGUAUCAGAGCCCGGUGCUUCAUUAGAGCCUAACCGCUCGAAGAGAUGUCGGGAGAUCACGCCAAGAAGGAGAUGGAGACCGGCGACGAAAAGCCCACUACAAGCUACGGGAGCACUUCAUCGGAAGAGUCCCGCACCAAAAGGAGGGAGAAGAAGAAGAGCUCCUCCAACAAAGGGAAGGAGAAGAAAUCUUCUUCUCACCACAAAGAGAAGAAGGAAAAAUCUUCUUCCCACAAGCCGCAUCGGAAAGGCGAUAAGCACAAGAGGAUGAGGAAGGUGGUCUACUAUGAGACCGACACUUCAUCAACUUCUACCUCCGACUCCGAUGCGCCCUCCGUCACUUCUAAACGCCAAGAGCGUAAGAAGUAUAGUAAGAUUCCCCUACGCUAUCCUCGUAUUCCUAAACAUACACCUCUACUUUCCGUCCCUUUAGGUAAACCACCAACUUUUAAUGGUGAAGAUUAUGCUAUGUGGAGUAAUUUGAUGCGAUUUCAUCUAACCUCUCUCCACAAAAGAAUAUGGGAUGUUGUUGAGUAUGGUGUACAGGUACCAUCAAUAGGGGAUGAGGACUAUGACACGGACGAAGUGGCCCAAAUCGAGCACUUCAACUCCCAAGCCGCAACCAUCCUCCUUGCCUCCCUAAGCAAGGAGGAAUACAACAAAGUACAAGGAUUGAAGAACGCCAAGGAGAUUUGGGACCUACUCAAGACGGCGCACGAGGGUGAUGAACUCACCAAGAUCACCAAGCGGGAAACGAUCGAGGGGGAGCUCGGUCGCUUCCGUCUUCGCCAAGGGGAGGAGCCACAAGACAUGUACAACCGGCUCAAGACCUUGGUGAACCAAGUGCGCAACCUAGGGAGCACAAAAUGGGAUGACCACGAAGUGGUUAAGGUUAUUCUGAGAGCCCUUAUUUUCCUUAACCCUACUCAAGUACAAUUAAUUCGUGGCAAUCCUAGAUAUACACAAAUGACCCCCGAGGAAGUCAUCGGGAAUUUUGUUAGUUUUGAAUGCAUGAUUAAGGGCUCCAAGAAGAUCAACGAGCUUGAUGAGCCUUCCACAUCCGAGGCGCAACCCGUGGCCUUCAAGGCAACGGAGGAGAAGAAGGAGGAGUCUACACCAAGUAGACAACCAAUUGACGCCUCCAAGCUCGACAACGAGGAGAUGGCCCUAAUCAUCAAAAGCUUCCGGCAAAUCCUCAAGCAACGGAAGGGGAAGGACUACAAAUCCCGUUCCAAGAAGGUUUGCUACAAGUGUGGUAAGCCCGGUCACUUUAUUGCUAGAUGUCCAUUAUCAAGUGACAGUGACAGGGACAACGACAAGAAGGGCAAGAGGAAGGAGAAGAAGAAGUACUACAAGAAGAAGGGCGGCGAUGCCCAUGUUUGUCGGGAGUGGGACUCCGACGAAAGCUCAAGCGACUCCUCCGACGACGAGGACGCCGCCAACAUCGCCGUCACCAAAGGCCUCCUCUUCCCCAACGUCGGCCACAAGUGCCUCAUGGCCAAGGACGGCAAAAAGAAGGUAAAAUCAAAGUCCUCCACUAAAUAUGAAACAUCUAGUGAUGAGGAUGAUAAAAAUGAGGAAGAUAACUUGCGUAUUCUUUUUGCCAACCUUAACAUGGAACAAAAGGAAAAAUUAAAUGAGCUAAUUAGUGCUAUCCAUGAAAAGGAUGAUCUCUUGGACUCCCAAGAGGACUUCCUAAUCAAGGAAAACAAGAAACAUGUUAAGGUUAAAAAUGCUUAUGCUCUAGAAAGAGAAAAAUGUGAAAAAUUGUCUAGUGAGCUAAGCACUUGCCAUGAGAUUUUAGACAACCUUAGAAAUGAAAAUGCUAAUUUGUUAGCUAAGGUUGAUUCUCAUGUUUGCAUUGAUCCUAGAAAUAAUGAUGUUGAUUUGCUUGCUAGGAUUGAUGAAUUGAAUGCUUCCAUCGCUAGCCUUAGAAAUGAGAAUGAGAAAUUAAUUGCUAAGGCUAAAAAUUUUGAUGUUUGCAAUACUACUAUUUCUGACCUUAGAACUAAGAAUGAUUUGUUGCAUGCUAAGGUUAUUGAAUUAAAGUCUUGCAAACCCUCUACAUCUACUAUUGAGCAUGUGUCCAUUUGCACUAGAUGUAGAGAUAUUAAUGUUGAUGCUAUCCAUGAUCACCUUGCCUUAAUUAAAAAACAAAAUGAUCACAUAGCACAACUUAAUGCUAAAAUUAGAGAGCAUGACUUAGAAAAUGAAAAAUUUAAAUUUGCUAGAAGCAUGCUCUAUAAUGGGAGACGCCCGGGCAUUAAGGACGGCAUUGGCUUUCAAAAGGGAGACAAUGUCAAAAUUAAUGCCCCUCCUAAGAACUUGUCUAACUUUGUUAAGGGCAAGGCUCCCAUGCCUCAGGAUAACGAGGGUUACAUUUUGUACCCUGCCGGGUAUCCUGAGAAUAAGAUUAAGAAAAUUCAUUCUAGGAAGUCUCACUCUGGCCCUAAUUAUGCUUUUAUGUAUAAGGGUGAGACAUCUAGAUCUAGGCAACCAACCCAUGCCAAGUUGCCUAGAAAGAAAACUAUUAAUGCAUCAAAUGAUCAUGACAUUUCAUUUAAAACUUUUGAUGCAUCUUAUGUGUUGACUAGUAAAUCUGGCAAGGUAGUUGCCAAAAUUGUUGGGGGCAAACACACGGGCUCCAAAACGUGUGUUUGGGUACCCAAAGUUCUUGUAUCUAAUGCUAAAGGACCCAAAACCGUUUGGGUACCUAAAACAAAGAACUAAACUUGUUUUGUAGGUUUAUGCAUCCGGGGGCUCAAGUUGGAUACUCGACAGUGGGUGCACAAACCAUAUGACAGGGGAGAAAAGGAUGUUCUCCUCAUAUGAGAAAAACCAAGAUCCCCAACGAGCUAUCACAUUCGGGGAUGGAAAUCAAGGUUUGGUCAAAGGUUUGGGUAAAAUUGCUAUAUCACCUGACCAUACUAUUUCCAAUGUUUUUCUUGUAGAUUCUUUAGAUUACAAUUUGCUUUCCGUAUCCCAAUUAUGUAAAAUGGGCUACAACUGUCUUUUUACUGAUACUGGUGUUACUGUCUUUAGAAGAAGUGACGAUUCAAUAGCUUUUAAGGGAGUGUUAGAGGGUCAGCUAUACUUGGUAGAUUUUGAAAGAGCUGAACUCGACACUUGCUUAGUUGCUAAGACUAACUUGGGUUGGCUUUGGCACCGCCGACUAGCCCAUGUUGGAAUGAAGAAUCUUCACAAGCUUCUAAAGGGAGAACACAUUUUAGGACUAACAAAUGUUCAUUUUGAGAAAGACAGGAUUUGUAGCGCAUGUCAAGCAGGGAAGCAAGUUGGCACUCAUCAUCCACACAAAAACAUAAUGACUACCGACAGGCCACUGGAGCUUCUACACAUGGAUUUGUUCGGCCCGAUCGCUUACAUAAGCAUCGGCGGUAGUAAGUAUUGUCUCGUAAUUGUGGAUGAUUAUUCUCGCUUCACUUGGGUAUUCUUUUUACAGGAAAAAUCUCAAACCCAAGAGACCUUAAAGGGAUUCUUGAGACGAGCUCAAAAUGAGUUCGGCUUAAGGAUCAAGAAAAUAAGAAGCGACAACGGGACGGAGUUCAAGAACUCUCAAAUUGAAGGCUUCCUUGAGGAGGAGGGCAUCAAGCAUGAGUUCUCUUCUCCCUACACGCCACAACAAAACGGUGUAGUGGAGAGGAAGAAUCGAACUCUAUUGGACAUGGCAAGAACCAUGCUUGAUGAGUACAAGACACCGGACCGGUUUUGGGCCGAAGCGGUCAACACCGCCUGCUACGCCAUCAACCGGUUAUAUCUUCACCGAAUCCUCAAGAAGACAUCAUAUGAACUCCUAACCGGUAAAAAGCCCAACAUUUCAUAUUUUAGAGUUUUUGGUAGCAAAUGCUUCAUUCUUAUUAAAAGAGGUAGAAAAUCUAAAUUUGCUCCUAAAACUGUAGAAGGCUUUUUACUUGGUUAUGAUUCAAACACAAGGGCAUAUAGGGUCUUUAACAAGUCCACUGGACUAGUUGAAGUCUCUUGUGACGUUGUGUUUGAUGAGACUAACGGCUCUCAAGUAGAGCAAGUUGAUCUUGAUGAGAUAGGUGAAGAACAGGCUCCAUGCAUCGCACUAAGGAACAUGUCCAUCGGGGAUGUGUGUCCUAAGGAAUCCGAAGAGCCUCCAAGUACACAAGAUCAACCAUCCUCCUCCAUGCAAACAUCUCCACCAACUCAAAAUGAGGAUGAGGCUCAAAAUGAUGAAGAGCAAAAUCAAGAGGACGAGCCACCUCAAAAUGAUAGCAAUGAUCAAGGGGGAGAUACAAAUGAUCAAGAAAAGGAGGAUGAGGAAGAAUCAAGACCGCCACACCCAAGAGUCCACCAAGCAAUCCAACGAGAUCACCCCGUCGACACAAUCCUCGGCGACAUUCAUAAGGGGGUAACUACUCGAUCUCGGGUUGCUCAUUUUUGUGAACAUUACUCUUUUGUUUCCUCUAUUGAGCCACACAGGGUAGAGGAAGCUCUCCAAGAUUCGGAUUGGGUGGUGGCGAUGCAAGAGGAGCUCAACAAUUUCACGAGGAACGAGGUAUGGCAUUUAGUUCCGCGUCCUAACCAAAAUGUUGUAGGAACCAAAUGGGUCUUCCGCAACAAGCAAGAUGAGCAUGGUGUGGUGACAAGGAACAAAGCUCGACUCGUGGCCAAAGGGUAUUCACAAGUCGAAGGUUUGGAUUUUGGUGAAACCUAUGCACCCGUAGCUAGGCUUGAGUCAAUUCGCAUAUUAUUGGCCUAUGCUACUUACCAUGGCUUUAAGCUCUAUCAAAUGGACGUAAAAAGUGCCUUCCUCAACGGACCAAUCAAGGAAGAGGUCUAUGUUGAGCAACCUCCCGGCUUUGAAGACAGUGAGUAUCCUAAUCAUGUCUAUAGGCUCUCUAAGGCGCUUUAUGGGCUCAAGCAAGCCCCAAGAGCGUGGUAUGAAUGCCUUAGAGAUUUCCUUAUUGCUAAUGGCUUCAAAGUCGGCAAGGCCGAUCCUACACUCUUUACUAAAACUCUUGAAAAUGACUUGUUUGUAUGCCAAAUUUAUGUUGAUGAUAUUAUAUUUGGGUCUACUAACGAGUCUACAUGUGAAGAGUUUAGUAGGAUCAUGACACAGAAAUUCGAGAUGUCGAUGAUGGGGGAGUUGAAGUAUUUUCUAGGAUUCCAAGUCAAGCAACUCCAAGAGGGCACCUUCAUUUGCCAAACAAAGUACACUCAAGACAUUCUAACCAAGUUUGGGAUGAAGGAUGCCAAACCCAUCAAGACACCCAUGGGAACUAAUGGGCAUCUCGACCUCGACACGGGAGGUAAGUCCGUGGAUCAAAAGGUAUACCGGUCGAUGAUUGGUUCAUUGCUUUAUUUAUGUGCAUCUCGACCGGACAUUAUGCUUUCCGUUUGCAUGUGUGCAAGAUUCCAAUCCGACCCUAAGGAAUCACACCUUACGGCCGUAAAACGAAUCUUGAGAUAUUUGGCUUAUACACCUAAGUUUGGGCUUUGGUACCCUCGGGGAUCCACAUUUGAUUUACUUGGUUAUUCGGAUGCCGAUUGGGCGGGGUGCAAAAUCAAUAGGAAGAGCACAUCGGGGACUUGCCAGUUCCUGGGAAGAUCCUUGGUGUCUUGGGCUUCAAAGAAGCAAAAUUCGGUCGCUCUUUCCACCGCCGAAGCCGAGUACAUUGCCGCAGGACAUUGUUGCGCGCAAUUGCUUUGGAUGAGGCAAACCCUGCGGGACUACGGUUACAAAUUAACCAAAGUCCCUUUGCUAUGUGAUAAUGAGAGUGCAAUUAAGAUGGCCGACAAUCCCGUCGAGCAUAGCCGCACUAAGCACAUAGCCAUUCGGUAUCAUUUUCUUAGGGAUCACCAACAAAAGGGGGAUAUCGAGAUUUCUUACAUUAAUACUAAAGAUCAAUUAGCCGAUAUCUUUACCAAGCCACUUGAUGAACAAUCCUUUACCAGACUUAGGCAUGAGCUCAAUAUUCUUGAUUCUAGAAAUUUCUUUUGCUAGCUUGCACACAUAGCUCAUUUAAAUACCUUUGAUCAUAUCUCUUUUAUAUGCUAUGACUAAUGUGUUUUCAAGUCGAUUUCAAACCAAGUCAUAGGAAUAUUGAAAGGGAACUGGAGUCUUCGGCGAAGACAAAGGCUUCCACUC
This 22709-nucleotide long non-coding RNA is filed under the name Zea mays. Its description in RNAcentral is "long non-coding RNA (ZMAY_LNC002677)". The record is from RNAcentral. Lineage: Eukaryota; Viridiplantae; Streptophyta; Magnoliopsida; Poales; Poaceae.